Coffea arabica (coffee) is the source of this 756-nucleotide non-coding RNA. The record is from RefSeq and is a predicted model, not a curated record. Lineage: Eukaryota; Viridiplantae; Streptophyta; Magnoliopsida; Gentianales; Rubiaceae.
UAAUGAGCAAGAAGAGGUUAUCAGUUAAUCAAACAGUAUUUACAGUAUCUGCAAGAGAACGCAGUAUGCAACCCAAGCCAGCUUUUUCUGUCAACUUCUCAUGAAUCCUCAAACACUGGUCGCAUGUUGGACGGUCACCAGUGGACAAGCCUCUGUAAAGAUACCUGAAAAUAAUAGCGCAGUCAAUGAUUGUCAAAAAGAUAGCAAAAAUUUACAAGUGCCACACCACUGGGGAGAUGGACAAAGCACCAACUAGGCAAAAGGAUUUCCCUGCUUACAUUUGUUCUCUCUACCAUCUUUAACUGGGAAGAUAGCUAAAGGCUUGUGGAGAAGACAGAGCAAGUAUUCCAUCUUUUUUUUUCUUCUUCAAAAAUCAGAUACAAGCCAAGGUGGAGAAUUGUCGGGUGAAGAGCUGUGUUGGUCAGUGGCAGGUGGAGUUCCAUUCUAUACCAUGACUCUUGCAGAUCUUCCUCAAACUUUGCUGCAAAUGAUUUGAUAUUCUGAACGAAUUUUAGUCAAGGUCAGCUAUAAAUAGCGCCUUAUGAAGGCCUCAAUCUACACAAAAAACAUAGAAAGUUCAAACUGGUACAAGUUCACACUUCAAUAUUUUUGAGUUUUCUCAUGUUUUGCUCUCUUUUUUUUUUGGCUUUUGGAGAAUUUUUCCAAGCUUUAUGUUCUUCUUCAUAGUAGUGAUGUUUCAUCCUUCACCCAUGGACAUAGGUCUCAUUGACUGAAUAACAAAAAUCUUAUUGCCUC